Molecule: ribosomal RNA, 471 nt
Filed under: Enterococcus casseliflavus
Lineage: Bacteria; Bacillati; Bacillota; Bacilli; Lactobacillales; Enterococcaceae
Description: bacterial SSU rRNA
Rfam family: Bacterial small subunit ribosomal RNA
Source: RNAcentral
GACGAACGCUGGCGGCGUGCCUAAUACAUGCAAGUCGAACGCUUUUUCUUUCACCGGAGCUUGCUCCACCGAAAGAAAAAGAGUGGCGAACGGGUGAGUAACACGUGGGUAACCUGCCCAUCAGAAGGGGAUAACACUUGGAAACAGGUGCUAAUACCGUAUAACACUAUUUUCCGCAUGGAAGAAAGUUGAAAGGCGCUUUUGCGUCACUGAUGGAUGGACCCGCGGUGCAUUAGCUAGUUGGUGAGGUAACGGCUCACCAAGGCAACGAUGCAUAGCCGACCUGAGAGGGUGAUCGGCCACACUGGGACUGAGACACGGCCCAGACUCCUACGGGAGGCAGCAGUAGGGAAUCUUCGGCAAUGGACGAAAGUCUGACCGAGCAACGCCGCGUGAGUGAAGAAGGUUUUCGGAUCGUAAAACUCUGUUGUUAGAGAAGAACAAGGAUGAGAGUAGAACGUUCAUCCCUUG